This is a small nucleolar RNA of Artibeus jamaicensis (Jamaican fruit-eating bat), 133 nucleotides long. The record is from RefSeq and is a predicted model, not a curated record. Lineage: Eukaryota; Metazoa; Chordata; Mammalia; Chiroptera; Phyllostomidae.
AUGCAAACUUGAUCACUAACUCUGCAUGACGUUGCAGAAGAGAGGGAAACUAGGUUUGCUACGGUAAUUGCGGUGAUAGAAAUUUGUUAGCCUCAGAAGCUACUAAGGUGGUCCAUGUUAUUCUCUAACAGUG